RNAcentral lists this ribosomal RNA (319 nucleotides) under uncultured eukaryote. RNAcentral's name for it is "partial 18S ribosomal RNA". It matches the Rfam family "Eukaryotic small subunit ribosomal RNA", at positions 1470 to 1796 of the family's 1831-position model. The record is from RNAcentral.
CCCUUAGAUGUUCUGGGCAGCACGCGCGCUACAAUGGUCUUCGCAAACGGAUGCAUUCUCGAAGGAGAAUGCCAAUCUUGGAAUCUAUGCCUUGGUCGGGACAGUUGCUUGCAAAUUUUCGACUCGAACCAGGAAUUCCUUGUAAUCGUGAUUCAUCACAUCACGAUGAAUACGUCCCUGCCCUUUGUACACACCGCCCGUCGCUCCUACCGAUCGAAGAGUUAGGUGAAUUGUUUUGAUCGAUAAGAUUUGACUAUGGUCAACUCUCGUUGUGAAAUUCUGUGAAUCUGACUGUUUAGAGGAAGGAAAAGUCGUAACA